AUUGAACGCUGGCGGCAUGCCUAACACAUGCAAGUCGAACGAGUGGCGGAGGGGUGAGUGAUGUCUGGGAAAGUGCCUGAUGGAGGGGGAUAACUACUGGAAACGGUAGCUAAUACCGCAUACCAUCAGAUGUGCCCAGAGGGGAUUAGCUUGUUGGUGGGGUAACGGCUCACCAAGGCGACGAUCCCUAGCUGGGCUGAGAGGAUGACCAGCCACACUGGAACUGAGACACGGCCCAGACUCCUACGGGAGGCAGCAGUGGGGAAUCUUGCACAAUGGGCGCAAGCCUGAUGCAGCCAUGCCGCGUGUAUGAAGAAGGCUUUCGGGUUGUAAAGUACUUUCAGCGGGGAGGCGUUACCCGCAGAAGAAGCACCGGCUAACUCCGUGCCAGCAGCCGCGGUAAUAC
RNAcentral lists this ribosomal RNA (406 nucleotides) under uncultured bacterium. RNAcentral describes it as "partial 16S ribosomal RNA". It matches the Rfam family "Bacterial small subunit ribosomal RNA", at positions 30 to 526 of the family's 1533-position model. The record is from RNAcentral.